This 253-nucleotide ribosomal RNA is filed under the name uncultured bacterium. Its description in RNAcentral is "partial 16S ribosomal RNA". It matches the Rfam family "Bacterial small subunit ribosomal RNA", at positions 524 to 776 of the family's 1533-position model. The record is from RNAcentral.
UACGAAGGGGGCUAGCGUUGCUCGGAAUUACUGGGCGUAAAGCGCACGUAGGCGGAUUGUUAAGUCAGAUGUGAAAUCCCUGGGCUCAACCCAGGAACUGCAUUUGAAACUCCCUUUCUUGAGUGUCGGAGAGGAAAGUGGAAUUCCUGGUGUAGAGGUGAAAUUCGUAGAUAUCAGGAGGAACACCGGUGGCGAAGGCGGCUUUCUGGACGACAACUGACGCUGAGACGCGAAAGCGUGGGGAGCAAACAGG